This 301-nucleotide ribosomal RNA is filed under the name uncultured bacterium. RNAcentral describes it as "partial 16S ribosomal RNA". It matches the Rfam family "Bacterial small subunit ribosomal RNA", at positions 509 to 807 of the family's 1533-position model. The record is from RNAcentral.
CAGCAGCCGCGGGAAUACAGAGGGUGCGAGCGUUAAUCGGAUUUACUGGGCGUAAAGCGUGCGUAGGCGGCUUUUUAAGUCGGAUGUGAAAUCCCUGAGCUUAACUUAGGAAUUGCAUUCGAUACUGGGAAGCUAGAGUAUGGGAGAGGAUGGUAGAAUUCCAGGUGUAGCGGUGAAAUGCGUAGAGAUCUGGAGGAAUACCGAUGGCGAAGGCAGCCAUCUGGCCUAAUACUGACGCUGAGGUACGAAAGCAUGGGGAGCAAACAGGAUUAGAAACCCGUGUAGUCCCUGUCUCUUAUAC